Mangifera indica (mango) is the source of this 5239-nucleotide RNA transcript. RefSeq lists it as uncharacterized. NCBI's taxonomy places the organism in Eukaryota, Viridiplantae, Streptophyta, Magnoliopsida, Sapindales, Anacardiaceae. The transcript has 9 exons. The record is from RefSeq and is a predicted model, not a curated record.
AAAUUUCAACACCACCAAAACUCUUUAUCUAUUUUCUCUAUUUCUUAGUUCAACCUUCCCCCACAAAAAUCCAAACCUUUAUAUUAAAAACUAGCAACCAGCGACAGAAUCUAGUAACCGAGAGAUGGAGAGAGAAACAAUUGAGCUCAGAUUCUGAAUAAGUAGGUCCUGAAUCAAAAGCUUGUGCCAGCUUCACCGACUCAAUCUUUCUCUUUCUCUCUUUUUUUAUCUCUGUCAAUAGCAGGUACCCAUUUCUUUGUUUACCCUAUUUUUAUUACGCUUUUGUAAAAAAUAAAAUUCCCCUUUUUGUUUGUGUUGUCGCUGGUUUUGUCUAAUCUCAUUAGGGUUUAUCAGUUUGCAGCUUAUUACGUCGUUUCAACACGAUUUUUGCUCUUUAAUGUGAAAAUAAUCAAUACCCAGAAGUGAAAGAUUUCAGCUUUACAUUGAUUCAGUGACGUUUAAAGUAAAUCCCAUUUUGUAGAUAUGGCUUUUGAUCAAAAUUCAAUACCAAAAGAUCUAAGGCCGAUAAAUAUAGCCAGAAAUGUUGCUGAAGAGCCCCGCAUUGUGGUUGCUUCAACUGCCAAUCAAGGGUUUUAUCCUAGCACGGUUCGUGAGCCUGGUAGCCCUAGGUCUAUACCUGUAUUUUAUCCAGCACUAGUUCCUGAUGCUGGCUUUGUAGGUGUAGGGUAUAGCAAUGCGGUGGCAGCUGCUCCAGAUGUGGCUCCUACCGUUUGGGGUUCACAUAUGCCCGUGGCAGUGGGUGUUGGGCAAGCAGGUGUUAAUCCGGUUGUUGGGUACACAUAUAAUCCCAAUUUAGGGACUAGGGUUGUUGGGAAUGCUGUUGAUCAGGCUGGUAGUGAAAUGGGGGCUGGGUUUGGUUAUAGUCAUAAUUUGGGGAAUAGGGUUGUUAGUGGUGGUAGUGAUAGCGAUCAGGUGAAUAACAAUGAUCUAGCUGUGGGUUGUGGUGUAAUUUCUAAUUUGGGAAAUAGGGGUAGUGGUAAUGGGAUAGAUCAAGCUAGUGAUGAGGGUCGGGAGGAUUCAGUAUCAGGGAAGAAAGUUAAGUUUUUGUGUAGUUUUGGUGGCAAGAUUUUACCUAGACCAAGUGAUGGUAUGUUGAGAUAUGUUGGAGGGCAAACGAGGAUCAUUAGUGUGAGGAGAGAUGUGGGUUUUAAUGAACUAGUACAGAAGAUGGUGGAUACUUAUGGACAACCUGUAGUUAUUAAGUACCAACUUCCUGAUGAGGAUCUUGAUGCAUUGGUGUCAGUUUCGUGCCCUGAUGAUCUCGAUAAUAUGAUGGACGAGUAUGAAGAAAGGUCUUCAGAUGGAUCAGCUAAAUUAAGGGUGUUUUUGUUUUCGGCUUCAGAAUUUGAUCCUUCUGGGAUGGUGCAACUUGGAGAUAUACAUGAUAGUGGGCAACGAUAUGUGGAGGCAGUGAACGGGAUUCCAGAUGGAGGUGCUGGUGGUAUCAUGAGGAAGGAGAGUAUAGCUAGUCAGAGUUCAACACAGAAUUCUGAUUUUAGUGGGACUGAGGCUAUUGAUGCUGUAUGUUCUGGUCCAGUGGAUGUUGGUGGGCCUUCGUCAAGCAGCAUAGUAUCACCAAGGGAGAAUUUCAGUACUUCUUGUGAAAUAGCUCCAGAAAUUGUGUAUGUGGAUCCUAGUAAUGGAUUUUAUGCAGAUGCUUCUGGUGUUUCAUUGGGCAUUCCAGUUGUUAAGUCCAGCCCUCCUCAGACUUUAUCUUCUCAGCCUGAGGUUGAUUCAGAGAGGGCAGCAGCUUUCUCUGUACAGCAGCAACAAAUGGGGGUUGAUCUGCAUCAACCUGGAGGGGAUAUUCCUCCUCCCAGGACAUAUGUGCAAGCUUAUGUGGAUCCUUGUCAAGAGGCUAUAAUUCGUCCUGACUAUCUACAUCUUCCUCCACAGAUGGGGUUCCCCAAUCCUGAACUGUUGGGGCAUGCUGCACCUAUGCUUAAUCAACAGCAGCUUCGUGAUAAUGCACCUGGUCUCCCUUCCCAACAUUUUAUUCCCACGGUGCAUAUGACCAUGGUUCCAACAUCAUCUCAUGCUGGUAUAAGACCAACUAUGAUUCAGCCCUUAAUGCAGCUGCAGCAAACUCAGUUGGAGCGUUGUCCCGAUGAGAGUACUUUGGGGACAAGGCUUGUUCAGUUUCCUGUUGAUCAGAGCUACAAUGUGUACCAGAGCCAGGUUCCCCCUGCAGUAGUUGGAGGAGCUUAUGGUUGGCCUCAAGUUUCUUCAUCAGAGCAUGUUGUCUUUUCUGAUGGAUCUAUGUCUCAUCAACAAGUAAUCAUUCCUCAGAAAAUCCCCAAGUUGGAUGAUUGUCAUAUGUGCCAAAAAGCAUUACCUCAUGCACAUUCAGAUCCUCUGGAAAGAGACAGUGUUACGACCCCCUUAUCUGAUUCAAAUUCAAUCUAUCAUAGUCUUCCCAAGGAAGAUGCAAUGAGAACUCAGCCAGUAAACAGGGUUAUGGUAACUGGAGCCUUGGGGGAAGGUGUUACUGGACAGGGAAGUAUGCCUCAAACGGUAGUCUUCAGUCAAUUGGAUCAUCAGGUUGGAUCACCUCAAUCAGAGGCUGUUGGUCUCCCUCAGAAUGUUGAGGCUCCGCGGGAAAAAGAUCGAAUCCUCCAUCAAAUAGACAAUUCCGACCAUCCUAGGAUUGCAGUGACCCAUGGUGGGAUUGGAGUGGCAGGUGAUGUACAGCCAUCUUACAGUGUGUUCACAGGUGCUUCCACUGUUCCUCAGUCUUGCCAAGAAGAACGUUCAUUGCCACCAAAAUACCAGGUCAAACAAGAGGCUUUACUCAACAAACCUGUUAACAUUGAUGCGCCUAUUGCGGGCCUCACACAUGUAAAAUCUUCAGAACGGCUGACUCAUGAAUCUCCAAAAGAAUAUUCUAGCAAACUUCCUGUUGUCUCUAAAGAAGAUACCAUAAACCCUUGCACAUCAUUUGAACAUAUGAGGCCAAUUGAUGGGGUGAUGGAAUCUCUCCGGGUAUGCCCCAGUGACAAUAUAAAGAAUGAACAGAAUAAUUUACCUGUUGAUAUAAUAAGAAAGGAUUAUAUCUUGGGUAGCAGACCUCAGCAAAUAGUGGGAAGGGAGGUGCUUAUAGAUAAUACCUUUAGCCACCCCCCUUUAGUUCUUGACUCAUAUCAGAAUAAAACAUUUGAAGUGCUGCCUUGUUCCAAUGCAGAAGUUCUACACGUGAAUAAUACUCAACCCAUGGAAUCCUAUGAGGUAGCUCAACCUCCCAUUAUUGGUAAUCCAGGAUUAUAUCAACACUCAAACACUGGAACUCUUCACGUGGAUUCUGGUGAAGUUUGUUUUGUCAACCCUGCAUUCUCUGCUGCUGAACCAGUUCAUUUAGUUGGUAGAAUCCAAAAUGCUGCUGAUUACGAAGCCAUCCUGGCAAAUGUUAAUACAUCGUCUUUAGCACCAUCAAGCAAGGUUGGGGAUGUUCAGGAUUCCUCUAACUCACUGUUUAGCAAUCAGGAUCCUUGGAAUUUACAACAAGAUACUCAUGUUCUUCCACCUAGACCUAACAAGAUUGCAACAAAAAGGGAAGCCUUUCUUCCUGUGGAUCCUUUCAGUGAGAAUCGUUCAGGGAAUACGGGGGAAUUAAUUACAGCUGCACCGUUUGAGGAUGCAGUUCAACAGCCGAGUGAUGCAAACAAGGAUUUCAAUUCAGAGCACACAAGCUCAAAAAAAGGAUCAGCUGAGGAUCUCAUCAAGAAAGAGCUUCAGGCUGUUGCUGAGGGUGUGGCUGCUUCUGUUUUUCAGUCAGCUGCAAAUUCUAACCCAAAGUCAAUGACACGCGAGAAAGAGGAGUCUGUUUAUGAAAGCAAUCAAGAGAGAGAAGCUCAGGAUAAUGAUAUUGAAAUGAUGCACAAAGCAAAACUUGAGGUUAUGAAGAACAAAGCGCCAGAUAAGUUGAGUUUUGGUUUUCCAGCUUCUGAUGUUGGCCGCUUGCAGAUAAUAAAGAAUAGUGACCUUGAGGAGCUGCAGGAACUGGGUUCUGGAACCUUUGGCACAGUUUACCAUGGGAAGUGGAGGGGUACUGAUGUUGCAAUUAAACGGAUCAACGACAGAUGUUUUGCUGGAAAACCUUCAGAACAAGAGCGCAUGAUUGAUGACUUCUGGAAUGAGGCCAGUAAGCUUGCCGAUUUGCACCAUCCUAAUGUGGUGGCAUUCUAUGGUGUUGUGCUCGAUGGCCCUGGACGCUCUGUAGCAACGGUAACAGAGUAUAUGGUUAAUGGUUCUCUAAGAAAUGCUUUGCAAAAGAAUGAGAGGAAUCUAGAUAAACGUAAGCGUCUCUUGAUUGCCAUGGAUGUGGCCUUUGGAAUGGAGUACUUGCAUGGAAAGAAUAUAGUGCACUUUGAUUUAAAAAGUGACAAUUUACUAGUUAAUCUUAGAGAUCCUCACCGACCAAUAUGCAAGUUUUUCAGGUCGUGCUAAUGUAAAUUUGUGAUGCUUUGGCUGUUGACAAUUCAAUUGCACAAUCAGUUAGCUAAAUGAUUCCCAGAAGUUCUUUCGGAACCUUCUCAGUUUUCUCUCAUGACUGUUGACAAUGUUCUCUUUGCUUUGUUCUGUUGUUGGUUACACUGCUAUGUAUUUCUACUGUAAUCACUUCUGAUUUCGCAUAUUGAACACAGAAACGAUUUAGCUCUGUUCUGGUUGUGGUACUAGGUUGGUGAUUUGGGUCUAUCUAAGGUGAAAUGUCAGACUCUGAUAUCAGGCGGUGUUCGGGGAACACUUCCAUGGAUGGCGCCAGAGCUUCUGAAUGGCAGCAGCAGCCUUGUUUCUGAAAAGGUUGAUGUGUUUUCGUUUGGCAUUGUAAUGUGGGAACUUCUUACUGGAGAAGAACCGUAUGCAGAUUUGCACUAUGGAGCAAUUAUUGGUGGUAUCGUGAGCAAUACAUUGCGGCCACCAGUGCCAGAAUCUUGUGAUCCAGAAUGGAGAUCACUGAUGGAGAGAUGCUGGUCAUCUGAGCCAGCAGAGAGACCAAGCUUCACGGAGAUUGCAAAUGAAUUAAGAUCAAUGGCAGCCAAGAUUCCUCCCAAAAGACAAAACCCACCACCACAGCAAGCCUCCUAGGCACAGCCCCAAGUUGAAAAAUAAUUUAUGCCAGUGGCUUUCCUGCUUUUCUUGUUGAAUUCUUUAAAUCUUUCACCAUACAUAGACAUGCUGAGUCUUUGCCUUGAAAUAUAUCCCAGAAAUGAUUUUCUUUUUA